This 460-nucleotide ribosomal RNA is filed under the name uncultured bacterium. RNAcentral's name for it is "partial 16S ribosomal RNA". It matches the Rfam family "Bacterial small subunit ribosomal RNA", at positions 338 to 795 of the family's 1533-position model. The record is from RNAcentral.
CCUACGAGUGGCAGCAGUGAGGAAUAUUGGUCAAUGGACGAGAGUCUGAACCAGCCCAGUAGCGUGAAGGAUGACUGCCCUAUGGGUUGUAAACUUCUUUUAUAUGGGAAUAAACUGUUCCACGUGUGGGAUUCUGUAUGUACCAUAUGAAUAAGGAUCGGCUAACUCCGUGCCAGCAGCCGCGGUAAUACGGAGGAUUCGAUCGUUAUCCGGAUUUCUUGGGUUUAAAGGGAGCGUAGGAUGAUUGUUAAGUGAGUUGUGAAAGUUUGCGGGUCAACCGUAAAAUUGCAGUUGAAACUGGCAGUCUUGUGUACAGUAGAGGUGGGCGGAAAUCGAGGUGUAGCGGUGGAAUGCUUAGAUAUCACUAAGAACUACGAUUGCGAAGGCAGUUCAAUGGACUGCAACUGACACUGAGGCUCGAAAGUGUGGGUAUCAAACCGGAAUAAGAACCCUUGUAGUC